AGUGAACGCUGGCGGUAGGCCUAACACAUGCAAGUCGAACGGCAGCACAGUAAGAGCUUGCUCUUACGGGUGGCGAGUGGCGGACGGGUGAGGAAUACAUCGGAAUCUACUUUUUCGUGGGGGAUAACGUAGGGAAACUUACGCUAAUACCGCAUACGACCUACGGGUGAAAGCAGGGGAUCUUCGGCCCUUGCGCGUUUGAAUGAGCCGAUGUCGGAUUAGCUAGUUGGCGGGGUAAAGGCCCACCAAGGCGACGAUCCGUAGCUGGUCUGAGAGGAUGAUCAGCCACACUGGAACUGAGACACGGUCCAGACUCCUACGGGAGGCAGCAGUGGGGAAUAUUGGACAAUGGGCGCAAGCCUGAUCCAGCCAUACCGCGUGGGUGAAGAAGGCCUUCGGGUUGUAAAGCCCUUUUGUUGGGAAAGAAAAGCAGCAGGUUAAUACCCCGCUGUUCUGACGGUACCCAAAGAAUAAGCACCGGCUAACUUCGUG
Molecule: ribosomal RNA, 492 nt
Filed under: uncultured bacterium
Lineage: Bacteria
Description: partial 16S ribosomal RNA
Rfam family: Bacterial small subunit ribosomal RNA
Source: RNAcentral